AGGCGCGUAGCUCAGCGGGAGAGCGCUACCUUGACGCGGUAGAAGUCGGCGGUUCGAAACCGCCCGCGCCUACCA
This 75-nucleotide transfer RNA is filed under the name Pseudomonadota bacterium. RNAcentral describes it as "Proteobacteria bacterium (hot springs metagenome) tRNA-Val". It matches the Rfam family "tRNA". Rfam says of the family: Transfer RNA (tRNA) molecules are approximately 80 nucleotides in length. Their secondary structure includes four short double-helical elements and three loops (D, anti-codon, and T loops). RNAcentral also lists the same sequence under 1 other name. The record is from RNAcentral. Lineage: Bacteria; Pseudomonadati; Pseudomonadota.